This 253-nucleotide ribosomal RNA is filed under the name uncultured bacterium. RNAcentral describes it as "partial 16S ribosomal RNA". It matches the Rfam family "Bacterial small subunit ribosomal RNA", at positions 524 to 776 of the family's 1533-position model. The record is from RNAcentral.
UACGUAGGCAGCAAGCGUUGUUCGGAAUUACUGGGCGUAAAGAGUGUGUAGGCGGUUCGCUAAGUUUGGUGUGAAAUCUCCCGGCUUAACUGGGAGGGUGCGCCGAAAACUGGCGGGCUUGAGUAUGGGAGAGGAAAGCGGAAUUCCUGGUGUAGCGGUGAAAUGCGUAGAUAUCAGGAGGAACAUAUGUGGUGUAGACGGCUUUCUGGACCAUUACUGACGCUGAGACACGAAAGCGUGGGUAGCAAACAGG